GGGGAGAGAGAGAUGCUGCUUGGCACUGAACCAAAGAGAGAGAGAGAGAGAGAGGGGGAGGGAGGGAGAUGGGGAGAGAGAGAUGCUGUAAGGCAAUGAAACAAAGAGAGAGAGAGAGGGGGGAGGGAGAGAGGGAGAGAGAGAUGCUGCAAGGCAAUGAAACAAAGAGCGAGACAAGGACAGGAGGUAGAUACAGUAUGACAAACAGAGAGGGGGAGAGAGGGAGACGACAGAGAGAGGAGAGAGGAGAGGGAGAGAGAGAGAGAGGAGAGAGGAGAGGGAGAGAGAGAGAGAGAGAGGAGAGAGGAGAGGGAGAGAGGAAAGACAACAGAGAGAGAGGAUGGAGAGAGAGGGAGAGAGAGGAGAGGGAGAGAGAGGGAGUGGGAGAGAGAGAGGAAAGACAACAGAGAGAGAGGAGGGAGAGAAAGGGAGAGAGAGAGGAGAGGGAGAGAGGCGAGGGAGAGAGGAAAGACAACAGAGAGAGAGAAGACAGAGAGAGACGACAGAGAGAGAGGAGGGAGAGAAAGGGAGAGAGAGAGAGGAGAGGGAGAGAGGAAAGACAACAGAGAGAGAGAAGACAGAGAGAGACGACAGAGAGAAAGGAGAAGCUGCUUAGCACUGCAACACAGAGACAGUAUAAUAUGGGUUUGUAUGUCGCUUGCUCCCUCGUGGUCAUCAUAAAGAUAAUGUGUUUUCAAUGACUUACCUGGUUAAAUAAAUACAAACAAAAAAAAACAUUGUAACUAAAGACAUGUAUUAACAGCAGAACCACUGGGCCUCGUGGGAAACCCCCUUCAAGCCAAACGAGCAGUCAUUCUGACUAACAUUCUAACAGCAGAACCACUGGGCCUCGUGGGAAACCC
RNAcentral lists this long non-coding RNA (863 nucleotides) under Salmo salar (Atlantic salmon). Its description in RNAcentral is "lncRNA (ENSSSAG00000090028.1)". Lineage: Eukaryota; Metazoa; Chordata; Actinopteri; Salmoniformes; Salmonidae. The record is from RNAcentral.